This 410-nucleotide long non-coding RNA is filed under the name Helianthus annuus (common sunflower). The record is from RNAcentral. Lineage: Eukaryota; Viridiplantae; Streptophyta; Magnoliopsida; Asterales; Asteraceae.
GCGACUUCAAGCUCCCCAAAACCCUAGUUCACAUCAAAAACCACCAAUUGAAGGAUCAAAUCGAGUCCAAAACGAAAACCGAGCAUAUAUUCGUGAUCCCCAUUGAAAGGAGAUCAUAAGUUUGUCGCCUAACGAGCUAGGUGGAGGCUUGAAAAAGAAGCGGUCAAACGAAUCAAGCACGAGAAGAAAACGUAUUCGGAUGCGAGGUGAAGAUGGGAUAAGCGGUUUGAAAGAUACGAAAGUUUUCGUGCAAAUAAACGGCAAAAUAGGAAAGCUGGAAUGCAGGGGCCACCGUAACUUACGGUGCCACCGUAAGUUACGGUGGAGCUGAAGGCUUUACGGCAGCCCCCUACUGAUUUACGGUAGGGGCAUGUCACACCAGGGGCCACCGUAACUUACGGUGCCACCGU